GGGGAUGUAGCUCAGUGGCACAGUGCCUGCCUGGCAAGUUGGAGGCCCUGAGUUCAAUUCCCAGUACCA
RNAcentral lists this transfer RNA (69 nucleotides) under Heterocephalus glaber (naked mole-rat). It matches the Rfam family "tRNA". Rfam says of the family: Transfer RNA (tRNA) molecules are approximately 80 nucleotides in length. Their secondary structure includes four short double-helical elements and three loops (D, anti-codon, and T loops). Further hydrogen bonds mediate the characteristic L-shaped molecular structure. tRNAs have two regions of fundamental functional importance: the anti-codon, which is responsible for specific mRNA codon recognition, and the 3' end, to which the tRNAs corresponding amino acid is attached (by aminoacyl-tRNA synthetases). tRNAs cope with the degeneracy of the genetic code in two manners: having more than one tRNA (with a specific anti-codon) for a particular amino acid; and 'wobble' base-pairing, i.e. permitting non-standard base-pairing at the 3rd anti-codon position. Lineage: Eukaryota; Metazoa; Chordata; Mammalia; Rodentia; Bathyergidae. The record is from Rfam by way of RNAcentral.